GAUGAAGAACGUAGCGAAAUACGAUAAGUAAUGUGAAUUGCAGAAUUCAGUGAAUCAUCGAAUCUUUGAACGCACAUUGCGCCCGCUGGUAUUCCGGCGGGCAUGCCUGUUCGAGCGUCAUUUCAACCCUCAAGCCCCCGGGUUUGGUGUUGGGGAUCGGCUCUGCCUUCUGGCGGUGCCGCCCCCGAAAUACAUUGGCGGUCUCGCUGCAGCCUCCAUUGCGUAGUAGCUAACACCUCGCAACUGGAACGCGGCGCGGCCAUGCCGUAAAACCCCAACUUCUGAAUGUUGACCUCGGAUCAGGUAGGAAUACCCGCUGAACUUAAGCAUAUCAAUAAGCGGAGGA
Molecule: unclassified non-coding RNA, 346 nt
Filed under: soil metagenome
Description: partial contains 5.8S ribosomal RNA, internal transcribed spacer 2, and large subunit ribosomal RNA
Rfam family: 5.8S ribosomal RNA (bases 1-120)
Source: RNAcentral